AACGAACGCUGGCGGCAUGCCUAACACAUGCAAGUCGAACGAGACCUUCGGGUCUAGUGGCGCAAGGGUGCGUAACGCGUGGGAACCUGCCCUUAGGUUCGGAAUAACUCCCCGAAAGGGGUGCUAAUACCGGAUAAUGUCUUCGGACCAAAGAUUUAUCGCCUUUGGAUGGGCCCGCGUUGGAUUAGCUAGUUGGUAGGGUAAAAGCCUACCAAGGCGACGAUCCAUAGCUGGUCUGAGAGGAUGAUCAGCCACACUGGGACUGAGACACGGCCCAGACUCCUACGGGAGGCGGCAGUGGGUGAUAUUGGACAGUGGGCGGAAGCCUGAUCCAGCUAUGCCGGGUGAAUGAUGAAGGCCUUGAGGUUGUAAAGCGCUUUUACCCAGGAUGAUAAUGACAGUACCGAAAGAAAAAGCUCCGGCUAACUCCGUG
RNAcentral lists this ribosomal RNA (433 nucleotides) under uncultured bacterium. Its description in RNAcentral is "partial 16S ribosomal RNA". It matches the Rfam family "Bacterial small subunit ribosomal RNA", at positions 29 to 507 of the family's 1533-position model. The record is from RNAcentral.